GACGAACGCUGGCGGCGUGCUUAACACAUGCAAGUCGAACGGAAAGGCCCUGCUUUUGUGGGGUGCUCGAGUGGCGAACGGGUGAGUAACACGUGAGUAACCUGCCCUUGACUUUGGGAUAACUUCAGGAAACUGGGGCUAAUACCGGAUAGGAGCUCCUGCUGCAUGGUGGGGGUUGGAAAGUUUCGGCGGUUGGGGAUGGACGCGCGGCUUAUCAGCUUGUUGGUGGGGUAGUGGCUUACCAAGGCUUUGACGGGUAGCCGGCCUGAGAGGGUGACCGGCCACAUUGGGACUGCGAUACGGCCCAGACUCGUACGGGAGGCAGCAGUGGGGAAUAUUGCACAGUGGGCGGAAGCCUGAUGCAGCAACGCCGCGUGCGGGAUGACGGCCUUCGGGUUGUAAACCGCUUUCGCCUGUGACGAAGCGUGAGUGACGGUAAUGGGUAAAGAAGCACCGGCUAACUACGUG
Molecule: ribosomal RNA, 468 nt
Filed under: uncultured bacterium
Lineage: Bacteria
Description: partial 16S ribosomal RNA
Rfam family: Bacterial small subunit ribosomal RNA
Source: RNAcentral